GAUGAACGCUGGCGGCGUGCCUAACACAUGCAAGUCGAGCGGGGUAUACGGAGCAGCUUGCUGCACUGUAGACCUAGCGGCGGACGGGUGAGUGACGCGUGGGUAACCUGCCUUACACAGGGGGAUAACACUGGGAAACCAGUGCUAAUACCGCAUAACAUCAUUUUAUGGCAUCAUGAAAUGAUCAAAGGAGAAAUCCGGUGUAAGAUGGGCCCGCGUCCGAUUAGCUAGUUGGUGAGGUAAUGGCUCACCAAGGCAGCGAUCGGUAGCCGGACUGAGAGGUUGGCCGGCCACAUUGGGACUGAGACACGGCCCAGACUCCUACGGGAGGCAGCAGUGGGGAAUAUUGCGCAAUGGGGGGAACCCUGACGCAGCGACGCCGCGUGAAGGAAGAAGGCCUUCGGGUUGUAAACUUCUUUGAUUGGGGAAGAAAAAUGACGGUACCCAAAGAACAAGCCACGGCUAACUACGUGCCAGCAGCCGCGGUAAUACGUAGGUGGCGAGCGUUAUCCGGAAUUACUGGGUGUAAAGGGCGUGUAGGCGGGGAUGCAAGUCAGAUGUGAAAUUCCGGGGCUCAACCUCGGCACUGCAUCUGAAACUGUGUCUCUUGAGUGCUGGAGAGGAAAGUGGAAUUCCUAGUGUAGCGGUGAAAUGCGUAGAGAUUAGGAGGAACACCAGUGGCGAAGGCGACUUUCUGGACAGCAACUGACGCUGAGGCGCGAG
This 723-nucleotide ribosomal RNA is filed under the name uncultured bacterium. Its description in RNAcentral is "bacterial SSU rRNA". It matches the Rfam family "Bacterial small subunit ribosomal RNA", at positions 28 to 757 of the family's 1533-position model. The record is from RNAcentral.